GAUGAACGCUGGCGGCGUGCCUAAUACAUGCAAGUCGAGCGAACGGACGAGAAGCUUGCUUUUCUGAUGUUAGCGGCGGACGGGUGAGUAACACGUGGAUAACCUACCUAUAAGACUGGGAUAACUUCGGGAAACCGGAGCUAAUACCGGAUAAUAUUUUGAACCGCAUGGUUCAAAAGUGAAAGACGGUCUUGCUGUCACUUAUAGAUGGAUCCGCGCUGCAUUAGCUAGUUGGUAAGGUAACGGCUUACCAAGGCAACGAUGCAUAGCCGACCUGAGAGGGUGAUCGGCCACACUGGAACUGAGACACGGUCCAGACUCCUACGGGAGGCAGCAGUAGGGAAUCUUCCGCAAUGGGCGAAAGCCUGACGGAGCAACGCCGCGUGAGUGAUGAAGGUCUUCGGAUCGUAAAACUCUGUUAUUAGGGAAGAACAUAUGUGUAAGUAACUAUGCACGUCUUGACGGUACCUAAUCAGAAAGCCACGGCUAACUACGUG
RNAcentral lists this ribosomal RNA (497 nucleotides) under uncultured bacterium. Its description in RNAcentral is "partial 16S ribosomal RNA". It matches the Rfam family "Bacterial small subunit ribosomal RNA", at positions 28 to 507 of the family's 1533-position model. The record is from RNAcentral.